This 368-nucleotide ribosomal RNA is filed under the name uncultured organism. RNAcentral describes it as "bacterial SSU rRNA". It matches the Rfam family "Bacterial small subunit ribosomal RNA", at positions 526 to 896 of the family's 1533-position model. The record is from RNAcentral.
CGGAGGGUGCAAGCGUUAUCCGGAUUCACUGGGUUUAAAGGGUGCGUAGGCGGGCAGGUAAGUCAGUGGUGAAAUCCUUGAGCUUAACUCGAGAACUGCCAUUGAUACUAUCUGUCUUGAAUAUUGUGGAGGUAAGCGGAAUAUGUCAUGUAGCGGUGAAAUGCUUAGAUAUGACAUAGAACACCUAUUGCGAAGGCAGCUUACUACGCAUAUAUUGACGCUGAGGCACGAAAGCGUGGGGAUCAAACAGGAUUAGAUACCCUGGUAGUCCACGCCCUAAACGAUGAUUACUCGACAUUUGUGAUACACUAUAAGUGUCUGAGCGAAAGCAUUAAGUAAUCCACCUGGGAAGUACGACCGCAAGGUUG